UGAGGAAUAUUGCGCAAUGGGCGAAAGCCUGACGCAGCGACGCCGCGUGGAGGAUGAAGGUCUUAGGAUUGUAAACUUCUGUUAAGCGGGAAGAAAGACGAAGUGUUAAUACCACUUUAUGAUGACGGUACCGCUAAAGAAAGCACCGGCUAACUUCGUGCCAGCAGCCGCGGUAAUACGAAGGGAGCUAGCGUUGUUCGGAAUCACUGGGCGUAAAGCGCACGUAGGUGGGCAGUUAAGUCAGGGGUGAAAGCCCGAGGCUCAACCUCGGAAUUGCCUCUGAUACUGGCUGUCUAGAGUUCGAGAGAGGUGAGUGGAAUUCCUAGUGUAGAGGUGAAAUUCGUAGAUAUUAGGAAGAACACCGGUGGCGAAGGCGGCUCACUGGCUCGAUACUGACACUGAGGUGCGAAAGCGUGGGGAGCAAACAGGAUUAGAUACCCAGGUAGUCCCUGAGCGGGCUGGCAAGGCGCAU
RNAcentral lists this ribosomal RNA (472 nucleotides) under uncultured bacterium. Its description in RNAcentral is "bacterial SSU rRNA". It matches the Rfam family "Bacterial small subunit ribosomal RNA", at positions 355 to 825 of the family's 1533-position model. The record is from RNAcentral.